This 460-nucleotide ribosomal RNA is filed under the name uncultured bacterium. RNAcentral's name for it is "partial 16S ribosomal RNA". It matches the Rfam family "Bacterial small subunit ribosomal RNA", at positions 338 to 795 of the family's 1533-position model. The record is from RNAcentral.
CCUACGAGAGGCAGCAGUGAGGAAUAUUGGUCAAUGGGCGCGAGCCUGAACCAGCCAAGUAGCGUGAAGGAUGACUGCCCUACGGGUUGUAAACUUCUUUUAUAAAGGAAUAAAGUGAGGCACGUGUGCCUUUUUGUAUGUACUUUAUGAAUAAGGAUCGGCUAACUCCGUGCCAGCAGCCGCGGUAAGACGGAGGAUCCGAGCGUUCUCCGGAUUUAUUGGGUGUAAAGAGAGUGUAGAUGGGUUGUUAAGUCAGUUGUGAAAGUUUGCGGCUCAACCGUAAAAUUGCAAUUGAUACUGGCAGUCUUGAGUACAGUUGAGGUAGGCGGAAUUCGUGGUGUAGCGGUGAAAUGCUUAGAUAUCACGAAGAACUCCGAUUGCGAAGGCAGCUUACUAAACUGCCACUGACAUUGAUGCUCGAAAGUGUGGGUAUCAAACAGGAUUAGAUACCCGAGUAGUC